CGCGUAGGCGGAGAUGUAAGUCAGAUGUGAAAUCCCGGGGCUCAACCCCGGAACUGCAUUUGAAACUGCAUUUCUAGAGGAUAGGCGGAGAAAACGGAAUUCCACAAGUAGCGGUGAAAUGCGUAGAUAUGUGGAAGAACACCUGUGGCGAAAGCGGUUUUCUAGCUUAUUCCUGACGCUGAGGCGCGAAAGCAAGGGGAUCAAACA
Molecule: ribosomal RNA, 207 nt
Filed under: uncultured bacterium
Lineage: Bacteria
Description: partial 16S ribosomal RNA
Rfam family: Bacterial small subunit ribosomal RNA
Source: RNAcentral